Cherax quadricarinatus is the source of this 437-nucleotide non-coding RNA. The record is from RefSeq and is a predicted model, not a curated record. Lineage: Eukaryota; Metazoa; Arthropoda; Malacostraca; Decapoda; Parastacidae.
AAAAAAAAAAAAAUAAUCAGUGACAUUUCUUUUAAAAACCAAGUUUUAUCUCGUAAGUGCUUGAAAAGAUAUGAGAUAUACAAGGCAGCAGUGAUGGGUGAAUGGAGGGACCAAGAUGACCCCUCUACAUCAGGUCACGCAUUUGGCCAAGCAGGCCUAUGCUGCUGACCCUGCGAGUAAACGGCGACUUGCCUCCUGGUGAACCGGAGGUCCCGAUGACCCUGGACAAGCACAGAGCUGUAGACGCCCUGUCAUUUGUCAAGUGUCAGUUCUCAUGCAGAUGGUCUUUUUUAUGCAUCCAGUCAAAUCCUUCACUGACGAACCUUGAUGUGGCGUGCUUGAGACCUGAAGAAGACUCUUGGCUGCUGACCGAAGGAGAGGACCUGCUGCCCUUCUUAAGAACCCGCUCAAGGUAGGCAGCCGGAGCCCACCCCUCA